GGGCUUGUAGCUCAGGUGGUUAGAGCGCUACACUGAUAAUGUAGAGGUCCCUGGUUCGAGUCCAGGCAGGCCCA
Molecule: transfer RNA, 74 nt
Organism: Hymenobacter sp.
Lineage: Bacteria; Pseudomonadati; Bacteroidota; Cytophagia; Cytophagales; Hymenobacteraceae
Rfam family: tRNA
About the family: Transfer RNA (tRNA) molecules are approximately 80 nucleotides in length.
Source: Rfam